Molecule: long non-coding RNA, 9297 nt
Organism: Pan troglodytes (chimpanzee)
Lineage: Eukaryota; Metazoa; Chordata; Mammalia; Primates; Hominidae
Exons: 5
Source: RefSeq, a predicted model, not a curated record
UGCAGGAGGAGGCUGCCAGCACACCCACGCCCCUUGCGACGCGUUCUCCAUGGCAGCAGCCAAAGCUGCAGAGAAGUGAGCAUGACCGGAACUAAGUGGGCUUGCAGAAUCACAGGCCCCUCAGAGAUUUGCAGGGCAGACAGCAAAGAAAAGGAGGCCAGAGGCCUGUGGCAGCCUGUCCCCAAGCCACACAGCCAGGAGAUGGCAGGGCUGGGACCAGCGGGACAGCCAAGGAGAUGGAAAGAUCAGAUGACAUUGAAAAUAUUCACAGCCAGCCUGGCUGGGGCCUGGGCAGUCAGAACAAACACCCCUGGAGGCAUUGGACCCCAGCAGGUGCCCUCGGAGUGCACAUGAGCUGAUGGAUCCUCAGCCUUGGUGACAGUUGUGAAGAAGAGGAGUGGUAGGGAAUGGGGAAAUACGGUGAGUGCAAACUCUGUCUCCCUGUCAUCACACCCCAUGCCUAACAGACAUUAUCGCAUUUCACUCUCACAAUCAGACUUUUAAAGCAGGGGAUGUCAUUAGCUCCAUUUUACAUAGGAGGGCCCUCCAGCUUCAUUAGGGUAAAUAACUUGCUCAUCUAAAAGAGAACAGAGACAGGAGUCAGCCCUUGUUCUGCCGGGGUGCCAAAGGGGAGGGAGCUCUGGGCCCACCCCGACUGCUGCCCCCACUCCCCUGCCUGCCCAGCUCUCACUUGCUGCACACAGGAGGCCAUGCUUGAUGUGAGCUCCUGCACCCGACAAGGGCCAGCCCUGUGUGGGCCUGUGGAAAGCCCCACUCCGUGCUGCCUUCUACCCCUUAGGAUUUUGACCUAAGCUCCUGGGCCUCCUGUGGCCACAGGGCAUGGCCUGAGCCGGACACCCUGAGCUGAGAGCGGCUGUGGCAGGCCCAGAUUUACGGCUUUGUUAUUCCUGUGUUUUGGAGAUUUUACAGCCCCGCGCUCCCUCGAGAACCCUGUGCUUUCUCUAGGACAUAUCAGUCAGACGGCGGAGGAAAUAUCCCAAAUGCUGGGAACAUCCUGUGUCACGGUGUCUCCCGGGCCCAGGCGACAUGUGGAGAGCUCUUUCUGGUGUUGGAAAAACACAGUGGAGCCGUUCAUAAUGCUGGUGUUAAGGGGCAGAAGAAAUGCCCCCUUGGUGACAGACAUCCCCAUGUCCAGGCUCCAGUGCAACCUGGGACUCUGAGCCGGCACAUGACAUCCAUGAGGAUGAGCUCCGUGCAAGCCAGGACUUCCCCCGCACAGGACUCUCCCCUGGAGCAGCCACAGCAAAGCACCUAGAACAUGUGGCUGUAACAGCAAGUGGGUUUCCAGAUCCCGGAUCUCCUCCACCUGCUUCAUCUGAUUUGAAUCACCCAACAGCACUGUACCCAGGGGAUUACACGCCAUUCCCAUUUCAGGGAGUGAAACUGAAGCAAUGCUCUUCUGUAGCUCAGAGGCUUUGCAAAUGCUGUUCCUCCUGCUCAGAUUACUUUUCAAUGUGACCAUGAUAAAGUGGGCCAGAGUGAAGCAUGUAAAGCACUUAGAAGCCCUGAGCCACCGUUUAAGAAGCCUGGCUGCCCUGAAGCCACCGCCAGGAGAGAGAAGCCUGAGACGCCCCGGCAACCCGCAGCCCAGCCAUUUGAGACAUUCCAGCCCAGAUGCCCGGAGAAAAAGGCUUUCAGAUGAGCCCAGGCCCAGCCACCAUCUCAUGCAGCUGGUGAGAGAUCCUGAUUGAGACCCACAAUGCUGACCCCAGGCAAGACCUGGAUUGGGGAGCCACUGUUUGGGGGUGUUUUGUUACACAGCAAUAGCUGAGCCCCCCUUGCACUCUAGGGCCCUUGAGGAGAGGGUGACCAAAGCUGACAAAUUGACGUAAAGAGACCAUGCCCCAGCUGAGCCGCCCUCAGUAAGAGCCUUGUGGGGACUAUGACUUCUGGUUUCAGCAGCAUUUCAGGAAACGCCGGUGACAAGGCUUUGGGAAGGGUGAUGACAGCGAGGGCAGGGAUGCUUGACUCUCCAGACAGUGACGAUUCAGGCGGGAAACAGCAGCUACUUUGCUACAGGGAUCCACGAAAGUGUCCAAGGAGGAGACGAGGCCGUGGCUGAGUGCACAGUGGGCACCCGGUGGAGGGGGGUUCACGUGCAUUGUCACUUCUGCUCUCCCACCGCCCUGGGAGUCAGGCACGAUUAGAACUCCAUCUCUGGAGAGGAGGCUGGGAGAUGUAGAAUAACUCAUCCAGGACACAGCCUGUAACUCCUGGAGCUUGGAUUUGAACAAGCGCUUCGUGGAGCACAAAGAAGACUGGUAGGAUGGACAGUGGAUGAACGACGUUCUCAGUCUGUCCCCGGGAUCCGGGUCAUGCACAGACCUCACACUCCACAUGCAGAGUAACAAAGCAAAGCCUCCUUUGUAAGAGAGUGAGAGUACAAUGAGUUCAUGCUUGGAAGGAAGCACCAGGCAGGUCCCUGCACACGGUGGGCCCCUUAAGCAGGAGCUGAGUUCAGUGUCUCCUCUGCUGCUCACAUCAUCCCUGCAAUGCGGGCUUCCUAAGCCCUCCUUUUCUCUAGGCUGCCAUUUACUGAACCACACUCUGUGCCAAGCAAGAUGCUAAAGGCUUUCUACGCACUUCUUCCUGAGCUCUCACAACAAUCCUAUUGACAGGUGCUCCAACGAUCUCCUUUUUGCUAAAGAGUUAACCGAGGCUUAGUGAGAUUGAGUGGCAUCCUUGGUCCCCAGAGAGCAUGUGGUCCUGAUUUGAACCCAGCAACGAUCCCAAGCUCGCUCGGCUCUGACCUCACUUCCGCACACCACACUCGUGGAAGCUUUUAUUGUACCCCUCAUAAGACGGAGAAACCGAGGCUCUGGGAGGGCAAAUGGCGUGGCCAAGCACCCCAGGCCAACCCUGGUGGGCGGCUUGUACUCGACUUGAAUCCUCCUGUCUGAAAUAUGCAUUCCACUCUUCCCCACAGGACCCAAUGCAGCAGUUCCGGAAGGAGGAAUUCUGGCCCCCAUUUGCCAUAGUUGGAAAGCAGAUUCAUGUUGCAUUCCCUUUGCCAAUUUGCUUGCAGCGGGUUGAUGAGGAGCAGCUCCCAGCUUGUCCCAGCCUUCAUGUGGUAGGGGCUUCCAGCAACCACCCCCCCCGCCCCAGCAAGGUCCUCACAGCGCCCCAACACUGUGGGGCUGUCCCAGCACUGAGGCGAUUAGCAGAAUGAUAGCAGCCAGCUGCUCGCUCCGUCUGCGAGACAGACCAGAGCUGCUUGAGUGACACACUUGCAAGCUUCACCCACGUUCCUCUCCCGGAAUCACCGGGGCGGCCAAACCCCAGGAAUCUGCCUGCUUGAAGGAAUCAAAUCCACCGUUUCACUGCCCACGCUCAGGACCCGGAGGGUCUCCUGAAAUAAGGUUCAUGAGGCGGCCUCUGGAUUUGAUUACAAGGAAAUCUGUUCCCCAUCUCAACCCCUCAACUCUCUCUGCCCUCGACUGCAGGAAUGUGACGCCGGCUGAUUUCUCAGCAACUCCCGCGUUUCUUGCAGACACUGGACCUGGAGCCAACUUUCUACCUGGCUUGUGCGAUUCAUAAAUUACAGUGCAAUCAAAAGACACAUUCAGAAACUGCUGGAGGUUUCAAUGAGUGAGCAUAUCAGUUUCCCAGGACAACAAACUGCCACACACUGGGGGGCUUACAACAGCAGAAACUUACUCUCUCACGUUCUGGAGGCCACAAGUCCCAAAUCCAGACAUCGGCAGGGCCGUGCUUCCUGCGGUGGCUCUAAGGGAGGGCCCUUCCUGCCUCUUCUGACUCCUGGUGGCCCCCAGGUAUUCCAUGGCUUGUGGCUGCAUCGCUCCAAUCUCCGCCUCCAUCUUCACGUGGCCUCUUCUCGCUGUGUGCUUCUUGUCUGUGUGUCUCCUAUAAGAACACAUGUCAUUGGGUUUACGGCCCAGCCAGGUAAUCCAGGGUGAUCUCACCUUGAGCUCCUUAACUUCACCACGUCUGCACAGGUGCUCUUUCUGAAUGAGGUCAGCUUCACAGACUCUAGGGAUGACUUGGAUUUAUUUGUUGGAGGGCCACCCCUGGACCGUAUACAGUGAGCUUUAUUCUUCCUUCUGAGGACAUGAAGAAAGGGCCCUUGCCUCCCGGCCUGUCCCUGGAGAAGAAGAACUGACCUGGGCAGGGGGCAAGGAGGUGGAGAGGAGCUCCACCCUCAGCUGUGCCAUGCCCUUAGGAAGCCUUGAUCUCAGUCCCCACCUGCCCUGAUCUCAGAGCUGGGACUUCAUUAGGAACCCCAUCUGACCAACGCCCAGCCUUCUCUGAGUUUACACGCCAGAGGAGGAGCUGGACACUAAAUGAACACAACAAAAGAUGGAUAGAUAAAUACGUCACAUGGUGACAAAUGCCGUGAAAGAAAAUGCAGCAGGGUCAGGGAUAAAGAAUGAUGGGUCAAGGCCUCCUCCUGGGCUGGGGAUGAGGGCAGAAGGAGACCACGGGCACCAAGCCACUCACUUGGAGCCCGGGAUCAACCAAACCCCGGAGCCCAGGAUCAACCAAACCCUGGGUGCACAGGAGACACUGACACCAUUGGGUCUCAGAGGAGACUGACUUCUAGUCCUCAUUCUGCUACUAACCAGCCCCAAGACAGGGCAAGUUGCCUCCCUUUUCUAACUCUCAAACUUCUCCUCCCUAAAGCGGGAUUGGUGUCACAAAUGAGUUGAUGUACCUAGAAGGCUCGGCACACACCCGGGGACCAGCCCUCAGCAAAUAGUGGUGACUGUCACCUCCGUCCCUGAGUUCCAAUGUCCUCCAAGGUACCUCGUUCCCUCCAGCUCUAGCCUUCUAUUCUCCACCCCCGACCUGGCUCCUCCAUGUCUCCAACCACUGACCAAGGACCCCUGAUUAUUCCUUCCAUGUUCAGCGGUGCUGGGUGGGUGGAUGCAGAGGUAGCUGGGCUGAUGUUGUGGCUGUGUGACCAGCUGCAAACCAGGAGAGGCUCCCGGAACACCCGCUGCCUUGGUGGGGUGCCGGGCUUUGAUAGGCUGCCAGGAGCGAUAGCCAGGCCUGUUUGCUUUGCCUUAUCGGAGUGUUUUUCACCAGCAUUGCCCCAUCCCCUCUGUUCCCUCAUGGAGGUUAUCAGCCGCACAUCCGCUGCAGGGGUGAAGCCCCACGGGUAACCUUUCCCACGCCUGCCUCUCUGUGCCCAAGCCCAAGCCCCUUCCUAACACCAGGUCCCUGCUCUUCUAGAGCGUCUCCCCAGAAAGGGUGAGCUUGGAAAGAAGACUCCCACUCCCUUAGAAUUGGCUCUUUCCGAAGUACUCCAGAACUCAUCACUUCCAAGAAAAACCCUGGGGAUGCGGACGCUGGAGGUGGGAAGCCUAGAUGUUCUCUGCUACCAAGAGACCAGCACGUGAAAACCCACUGUGGCAUCCGCUUUCUGAGGCUGCCAUAACAAAGAACCACAGGCUUGGGGGCUUCAACAACAGGAACGUAUUCUCACGUUUCUGUAGGACCCAGGUCCAAGAACAGGGUGUCAGCAGGGCAGGCUCCCCGUGGGCUGUGAGGGGACUCUGUCCCAGGCCUCUCGGGGCGUUGGGUGUGUCAUGGGUUCUUUGGCCUCCUUUGACUUGUAGAUGCAUGGCCCAAUCUCUGCCUCCAUCUCUGUGAAGGCUUCUCCCGGGGUGUGUAUACCUCUACCCACGUACCCUUUGUAAGGACACAGCCAUAUCAGAUUAAUGACCUCAUCUUAACUUGACUACAUCUGCAAAGAUCCUAUUUUCAAAUAAGGUUACAUUCACAAGUACUGGCAUUAAGACUUCUAUGCCUUUUAAAGGGACACAAUUGAACCAAUAACUUUUCAAUACUACAUCCAAGCCCUGCCCCACCCCAGAUCAGCUACAGCAGCAUCUCUAAGGGAAGCCAGGUUGGUCUAGGGUGGAUCCAACUGAACCACUGCCCCCGUCCAACAGACACAGGGAAACUAAGGCCCCCAAAGUAGACAUGAGAUGCCUAGUGGCACAGGUGCCUUGGGGCUGAGGCCUCCUCCCUCCUGGUUCGUGCCGCAUCCUCAGCAGCAGGCCAGGGGCGAGGACUGUGCUCGAAUCUGCAGGGAGGAGGAUGAGCUCCCACCGCCGAGCCCCAGAGCUGACCUUGGUUUACGAGUUUCCUGAGUCAGUGUCUGCAUCCGUGUGCUUUCAGCUUCACAACCCAUAUGGCACAUGGGCGGUAUCGCCCCAUUCUCUCCAGGUGGAAACUAAGAUUCAGAGAGGCAGAUGCACUUGCUCAAGGAAGCACAGCUAGCUAGGGGCUGCAGGGCGAUGGGAAGGAAGGAUUCAAACCCAGGCCCAUCCAGCCCCACAGCCUGAACCACUUCCCCAAACAGUGCUGCCCAGGAAACCCAAGCCCACCCGUGCUUCUCUGCCAUAAAUGGUAAGGAACGCAUUUCGCAGGAUGACUGAAAUCCUCCUGUGACCACUUCUAGAAUGGCUGGGCUCAGAGUGAGGCUGACCCAUGGUCUGCUCCCAGCUCUGCCACUUACCAGCUGUGUGGCCUGGGGCAAGUCACUUUACCUCUCUGUGCCUCAGUUUCCUCAUCUGUAUAAUAGGCUGGAAAAUAGUGUCUACCAGUGAGGAUGCUGGCGGAUUGUAUGGUCCCUGGGGAAAUGCUGGAGAGGACUGUUACCUCCAGGGCAAUGUGUGGCUCUGGCAGGGACUGGGUGCAGCUGUCCCUCAGCUGCUCACCCCUAAUUUAUGUUUAGGGUGAGGCCCCAUCCCCAUCCCCUCUUGCCCCCACCCCCGCCACAACCACAUGAUAUCUUACUCCCAAGGCUUGUCAGGGCCACUAGUAUGGUGAUAAAUCUCCCGCUGGCCCCUGCCUGCCCUCCCUCUAGCCUCUCCGCAGAGACCAAGUUGUUAUAAAUGUGUCCGGCCUCGUGAAACCGAACCCUGCCAUGCCCCGCAACGGUGGCGGCAUCUUAGCCGCCAUUGCCUUAUCUGAUUGGAAACCAGUCCCUGCAUUCCCCUUCCUGGGGCUCCGGGGGAGGGUCUUGCUGCUGAUUCUAAUCUGGGGAACGCCCCCAGGACAGGCAGGGCUCCACAGCAGGGCCAGGUGUGAGCUGCAGCAGGCCACAGGCCUGACAAAAUUGGAGGCAAAGAGGUGAGGAGCCACAACCAACCCCAGCCCCAGCCCGUGCUCGGGAUCUGUCGUGCCACGUGUUUUGGGCAGUGAUGACAUUCUUGUCUUGUUCGCUUGUAAAAGGAACUUAUUUGCUUAUAUAACAGAACGGCCACCCUAGUGUCAUUUGGGAGUUUCAGGUAGGGUUUCCUCCAGAGUUCAAACAGUGUCUCCAGAAACGGACUUUUCUCUCCACUCCUGGACACUGUCACCUGGGUUGGGGCUCCCACGUCUGGCCUUGUGUAGCCAGCAGGUGCUGCCAGCCGCCCCUGGCACCGCACGGCUCCCGAUGUCAGUGCUGCACGAAAGAGUGAAUGUGCUCGUCCCAGCACCCCCAGCCAAAGCCCAGAGACACCCUCGUAUUGAUCUGGCCUGUACCUGUACUCUUGCUUGGCCGGGGGAAAGGCUUUUGCCAGACUUAGAUGCUUCUAAAGUAUCUGAAAUUUUAGCAGCCCCAGCAUUUUGGGAUUCGAAGGGCCCACAUGUAAAGUAAAUAUGAGCUCAAGGGUUUGGGGUGUUGGAAGAAAAGCAGGAAGACUUCAGGGCACUCAGGAAAGCCAGGGACAGCAUCUCUGAUUGACUGAGCCUGAAUACUGGCCAGGAACCACACUUCACAGGCACUGGGUCACAAACCCGAACAGCAAGGACAUUAAUGACCCAAUCCACAGGUGAGGAAACCAGGAGGUGAGGAAGGCAUCUGCCCAGCUACAGUGUGUUAUCUUGGUCUGAGAGCAGAACCACCGGAAGCAAAGAACACCCUGGAACUGGAGGUCCAGGACACGCUGGAGACGCGAGCAGGAGCAGCAGGUGUCACGGGCUGUGCAUGUCUCCUGCAGCUGCUCAAACAAAUGACCACAACCUGGGAGGCUUAAAACCACAAAAGCUUACUCCCUCGCAGAAAGCCGAAGUCCGGCUGAAGUCUGAAGUCUGAAGUCCAAAAUGAAGCCUAGAAAGUCCGAAAUGAAGGUGUCUGCAGGGCCGUGCUCCCUCCAGAGGCUUGGGGAGAGGACCCUUCCUUCCUCCUCCAGCUUCCACUGGCCCAGGUGUUCCUCGGCUUGUGGCUGCAAUCUCCUGUCUCUGCCUCUGUCUUCACGUGGCCUCCUCCUGGUGUGUCUGGGUCUCACAUCUUUCUCUGCCUCUCUUAUAAAAGCACUCAUGACUGUGCAGUCCAGGAUGCUGUCAUCUUAAGAUCCUUGAUGUAAUCACAUCAGCAAAGACCCUUUACCCAAUCAGGUCACAUUCACAGGCUUCAAGGAUUUCAUGUGGAUAUUUUAGGACAGACCAUUUUUCAGCCUACCACACAUGCACACACACAGUGAAAAUAAAAAUGCUUUGCAACUGGUGCAGAUCACAAAAGUAGCUGCUAGUGCUGAGGACAGAAAGUUGCAUUAGAGUUUGGCCCUCUGGUAUAUGAACUUUCUGAACAGAAAACUGUAUUGAACAAAGGACACUAGGCCGCCAUGAUGGAAUGCUUCCCACAGGCUGGUUGUCAUCUGCUUUGUGGCUCUUACCUGCUUUCCAAGGUGGACUCUAUGCACCCACUUUACUGAUGCAGAAACGAAGACUCAGAGACUCAUUGUUUGCCCAAAAGCAGAGUGGGGAUUACUACGUUGAAUGCCAUCGGACUCAGAACCUGCAUCCUUCACAGUACAUCAUGCUGUUCCUCUUGCUUGAAAACCUAUCACUGUGAACUAAUGUGAAAACCCAUCACUGGAAUAUGAUCUAAUACUCAUGCCGUGCACCAGCGCACCCGAGCACUCACGGCCUGCCAGCUCAUGGUUAGCACUUCUGUGCUUUCACAGAUUCAACAAACAUUGAAGACAUGCUCCAUAGAGCCAGGCAUUGUGGCAGUGUGGAGAAGGGGGGACAUUUUUCUCUACCCUGGAGGAACUCAGAAUCUGAUAGUAAAAUAUGACUGCUGUAACCCAUGCAACCCCGUAAAAAUCUUACAAAGUCGCUAUGAUAAGAUUGCUGUGCCAGUGAUGAGGACACUGGGGUUCAGAGAAGCCCUCGGCUUGGGAACAGCACAGCCGGGACUUGCCAAUAUGACUAGGUCCAGAGCAUAUUACUCCUCUCCCUACCUUGUCCUCUUUCAAUGAUUGGUGGCUGUGUUUUGUUUAAAGAGUGUGAAUUACAGGAAAAAAACAAAAGGCAAAA